CUAGCUUCUCUCAGACUUCAUAUGUCACAAAUGGUUUUAAAACAGGUGGUCUUGAAGAACAGAAAUUUGCUACACCAGGAGUGCAAGCCUUGGUACAGGCAAAUCGUGGAGAUAUUAUUCGAAUGCUUCCUUAUGAUAUACUGAAACCUAUUGGACAAAUGAAAGCUUUGGUAUUUAGAGAACAGCUCGUCGCGGGGACUAACUACUUUAUCAAGGUAAAAUUAGGAGGAGGACGCGGUCGGCGACCCCAGUUCAUACACGUCAGAAUCUAUGCUGACCUGAAAAACAAGAGCAGAGUGGACGAUGUCAAAUUUGCCAACCAAUACGACCCCAUUGAUUUCUUCUAGAGAUUGAAAAGAUGGACUUAGCUCUUUGUCAACUAGUAUGACCCCAUUGAAUUCUUCUAGAGAUUGAAAAGAUGUCGUUUAUAUU
Molecule: long non-coding RNA, 432 nt
Organism: Saccostrea cuccullata (small rock oyster)
Lineage: Eukaryota; Metazoa; Mollusca; Bivalvia; Ostreida; Ostreidae
Exons: 3
Source: RefSeq, a predicted model, not a curated record